This 197-nucleotide ribosomal RNA is filed under the name uncultured bacterium. RNAcentral's name for it is "partial 16S ribosomal RNA". It matches the Rfam family "Bacterial small subunit ribosomal RNA", at positions 335 to 524 of the family's 1533-position model. The record is from RNAcentral.
ACUCCUACGGGAGGCAGCAGUGGGGAAUAUUGGACAAUGGGGGAAACCCUGAUCCAGCAAUACCGCGUGUGUGAAGAAGGCCUUCGGGUUGUAAAGCACUUUUAGCAGUAAAGAAAGACUAUGCUCUAAUACCGCAUUGUUUUGACGUUACUUGCAGAAAAAGCACCGGCUAACUCCGUGCCAGCAGCCGCGGUAAU